Callithrix jacchus (white-tufted-ear marmoset) is the source of this 630-nucleotide long non-coding RNA. RefSeq lists it as uncharacterized. Lineage: Eukaryota; Metazoa; Chordata; Mammalia; Primates; Cebidae. The record is from RefSeq and is a predicted model, not a curated record.
UGUCACCCAGGCUAGAGUGCAGUGGCAUGAUCAUAGCUCACUGUAACCUCCAACUCCUGAGAUCAAGUGAUCCUCCCACCCUGGCCUCCAGAGAUCCUCCUACCCUGGCCUUCCAAAGCACUGGGAUUACAGGUGUAAGUCACCACAUCUGGCCAAAUUUUUUUCAUUCAAGUACUGAAAAAGUGUGUUACUUGGAAGAUGUGGGAGUUACCUUUCUUGCCUGCUGGAUAAGGGGAGACCACAGGAACGGACGCCCCAGAUUUAUCAGUGAGCCCAGCCAAUGCCACAUGGAACAGAUGAGCUAUCUCAGUUGGGUGCAUCACAGAACUAGAUACGGUUUUACCAUAUUGCACAGUCUGGUCUUGAACUUCUGGGCUCAAGUUAUCUGCAUGCUUUGGUCUCCCAAAGUUCUGGGAUUAUAGGUGAGAGUCGCCUCGCUCAGCCAUAUGUUUCAAUUCUAAGGUAAGCACAAGCUUUGUUUAAAGCUCAAACACUUCUUUCAAUUACAGUGAAUUGGUACCACACUAGAUCUCAGACUUGUAUAUUUCUCAGGCAAGUAGAAAUAGCAGUGUUUGAAUAAGAGUCUUAACUCUGAAGAAUGAGGUAAGAUAAGCAAACAGUAAACAACAU